CAUAAAGUACAUGAGAAAUAUUGAGAGUGGCAAGUUCUUGGUAGGAUCGAUAUCUACCAGCGAACCCACCAGCGAUAGUUGGGGGAGUGGAUGACGGGGAGCCAGGAGCUCUUUGAUCGUAUGACAGACAUGAGAUCCCAGCCUACUCCUGAGGGUUCGACCGCACCCAC
Non-coding RNA from Elaeis guineensis (African oil palm), 170 nucleotides. The record is from RefSeq and is a predicted model, not a curated record. Lineage: Eukaryota; Viridiplantae; Streptophyta; Magnoliopsida; Arecales; Arecaceae.